This 66-nucleotide transfer RNA is filed under the name Hemidactylus ulii. RNAcentral describes it as "tRNA-Pro". Lineage: Eukaryota; Metazoa; Chordata; Lepidosauria; Squamata; Gekkonidae. The record is from RNAcentral.
CAAAAAAUAGUUUAAUUAAAAUACUAGUUUUGGGGACUAGGGUUAGGACUAUUGUUCUUUUUUUGA